AGGGUGAAAAGAACCUGAAACCGUUACGGGGGAAGCGAAUUGCGUCGAAUUGAUUUUAUGGGGGGUGCACUGUUCAGCGCGUUUUGCGUGUACUCAGGGCAUUUUUCCUUACCCGUCGUGGGUUUUUGGAUGGUCGAAUUUGGGCCGUCUAGGACUGAGGGAUCCUCUUUGUUUAUAAGGGUGAGGACGAUGGGGCGCUGACGCGAUACGACCCGUCUUGAAACACGGACCAAGGAGUUCAGCAUAUGUGCGAGUCAAAGGGUGGUGAAACCUGAGGGCGCAGUGAAAGCGAUUUAACACGGAUCGUGUAAGAACUAAAACAUAUAAUUUUCAGUUUUAAGGCGGCAUACAAUGGGUGAUUGUAGGACCGACCUCGAGCAGAUAUGCUGAGACCCGAAAGAUGGUGAACUAUGCCGGAGUAGGGCGAAGCCAGAGGAAACUCUGGUGGAGGCUCGUAGCGGUGCUGACGUGCAAAUCGCUCGUCUGACUUGGGUAUAGGGGCGAAAGACUAAUCGAACCAUCUAGUAGCUGGUUUCCUCCGAAGUUUCUCUCAGGAUAGCAGGUCGACGAAAAGUUGUUGUGUGCGGUAAAGCGAAUGAUUAGCGUAUUUGGGGGUGAUUAGCCUCCAGUCGAUUCUCAAACUUUAAAUGCUCAC
This 655-nucleotide ribosomal RNA is filed under the name Acrosorium ciliolatum. RNAcentral's name for it is "eukaryotic LSU rRNA". It matches the Rfam family "Eukaryotic large subunit ribosomal RNA", at positions 384 to 1076 of the family's 3401-position model. The record is from RNAcentral. Lineage: Eukaryota; Rhodophyta; Florideophyceae; Ceramiales; Delesseriaceae.